UUACUGGCUCAGGAUGAACGCUAGCUACAGGCUUAACACAUGCAAGUCAGGGGCAGCAUGUUGGUUGCUUGCAACCGAUGAUGGCGACCGGCGCACGGGUGAGUAACGCGUAUCCAACCUUCCCCUUAGUAGGGCAUAGCCCGUAGAAAUGCGGAUUAAUACCCUAUGUUCUUCGAAGCGGUCAUCCAAUUUGAAGCAAAGAUUCAUCGCUAAGGGAUGGGGAUGCGUCCGAUUAGGUUGUUGGCGGGGUAACGGCCCACCAAGCCAUCGAUCGGUAGGGUUCUGAGAGGAAGGUCCCCCACAUUGGAACUGAGACACGGUCCAAACUCCUACGGGAGGCAGCAGUGAGGAAUAUUGGUCAAUGGGCGAGAGCCUGAACCAGCCAAGUAGCCGUGCAGGAUGACGGCCCUAUGGGUUGUAAACUGCUUUUAUCAGGGGAUAAAGUGGCCCACGUGUGGGUUUUUGUAGGUACCUGAUGAAUAAGGACCGGCUAAUUCCGUGCCAGCAGCGGC
This 512-nucleotide ribosomal RNA is filed under the name uncultured bacterium. RNAcentral's name for it is "bacterial SSU rRNA". It matches the Rfam family "Bacterial small subunit ribosomal RNA", at positions 16 to 518 of the family's 1533-position model. The record is from RNAcentral.